GGCUAACUACGUGCCAGCAGCCGCGGUAAUACGUAGGUGGCAACGUUGUCCGGAUUUACUGGGUGUAAAGGGAGCGCAGGCGGGAAAGCAAGUCAGCUGUGAAACUAUGGGCUUAACCCAUAGACUGCAGUUGAAACUGUUUUUCUUGAGUGGAGUAGAGGUAGCGGAAUUCCGAGUGUAGCGGUGAAAUGCGUAGAGAUUCGGAGGAACACCAGUGGCGAAGCGGCUUACUGGGCUCUAACUGACGCUGAGGCUCGAAAGUGUGGGGAGCAAACAGGAUUAGUACCCUGGUAGUCCACACUGUAAACGAUGAUUACUAGGUGUGGGAGGUCUGACCCCUUCCUGCCGCAGUUAACGCAAUAAGUAAUCCACCUGGGGAGUACGACCGCAAGGUUGAAACUCAAGGAAUUGACGGGGGCCCGCACAAGCAGUGGAUUAUGUGGUUUAAUUCGAAGCAACGCGAGAACCUUACCAGGUCUUGACAUCCAACUAACGAACUAGAGAUAGAUUAGGUGCCCUUCUGGAAAGUUGAGACAGGUGGUGCAUGGUUGUCGUCAGCUCGUGUCGUGAGAUGUUGGGUUAAUCCCGCAACGAGCGCAACCCCUGCCAUUAGUUGCUACGCAAGAGCACUCUAAUGGGACCGUACCGACAAGGUGGAGGAAGGUGGGGACGACGUCAAAUCAUCAUGCCCCUUAUGACCUGGCUACACACGUAAUACAAUGGCCGUUAACAGAAGGAAGCGAAGGCGCGAGCCGGAGCAAACCCCAAAAACGGUCUCAGUUCGGAUUGCAGGCUGCAACUCGCCUGCAUGAAGUCGGAAUUGUAGUAAUCGCGGAUCAGCAUGCCGCGGUGAAUACGUUCCCGGGCCUUGCACACACCGCCC
This 883-nucleotide ribosomal RNA is filed under the name uncultured Oscillospiraceae bacterium. Its description in RNAcentral is "bacterial SSU rRNA". It matches the Rfam family "Bacterial small subunit ribosomal RNA", at positions 495 to 1395 of the family's 1533-position model. The record is from RNAcentral. Lineage: Bacteria; Bacillati; Bacillota; Clostridia; Eubacteriales; Oscillospiraceae.